GUCGAGAAUAGUCUACAAUGGACGAAAGUCUGAUAGUGCGACGCCGCGUGAACGAAGAAUCCCUUCGGGGUGUAAAGUUCUUUUAUAUGUGAGCAAUGCUUUUUAUGUGAAUAGCAUGAGAAGAGAGAUAUUAGCAUAUGAAUAAGCAACGGCUAACUCCGUGCCAGCAGCCGCGGUAACACGGGGGUUGCAAGCGUUGUCCGGAAUUACUAGGCGUAAAGGGCAGGUAGGCGGAUCUAUAAGUUUGAUGUUAAAGGCAGCGGCUCACCCGCUGUACGGCGUCGGAUACUGUAGAUCUGGAAUGCGGUUGGGGAAGACAGAAUUCCUGGUGUAGCGGUGGAAUGCGCAGAGAUCAGGAGGAAUACCAAAGGCGAAGGCAGUCUUCUAAGCCGUUAUUGACGCUAAACUGCGAAGGUGUGGGUAUCAAACAGGAUUAGAUACCCUAGUAGUCC
This 452-nucleotide ribosomal RNA is filed under the name uncultured bacterium. Its description in RNAcentral is "partial 16S ribosomal RNA". It matches the Rfam family "Bacterial small subunit ribosomal RNA", at positions 354 to 796 of the family's 1533-position model. The record is from RNAcentral.